This is a long non-coding RNA of Cornus florida, 659 nucleotides long. RefSeq lists it as uncharacterized. The transcript is spliced from 2 exons. NCBI's taxonomy places the organism in Eukaryota, Viridiplantae, Streptophyta, Magnoliopsida, Cornales, Cornaceae. The record is from RefSeq and is a predicted model, not a curated record.
CAAACACCCAACACACCUCUCUGCAUCUCUCUCUCCGAGCCAAAUACAUACCUAGCCACCAACCGACGCAUGAAGAGGCGAAAAGAAGCAACUGGACCGGGAAGAUCAAAGCAGAAUGUGUUCCGGUGAGGAAGAAAGCCCUCACUAAACAAUAGCUAGCUGAAUACACUUUUCUCUCUCCGUCUCUCUCUCAUCGGAAUACACCUCUCGUUCUCUCUCUCACUGGAGUUCAUGGAUGUUGACCUUGUAGCAGAUUGGGCAAAUAGUCUUUGCCACAAAUGGAGAUGGAUUGGAGAUGUAUACUGCUACUGAUUAUUGAAUAGAUCUCAGAUUCUAGUUCUGAAGUUUGAAAUGGCAUAUGACAGAUUACAUGAUAUCAUUUUUCACUUUGAGGUACACAUACAUGUAAUAGGGAAUGUUCAUCCAGAUAAGUUCAGUUAUGUCAUGCUGUAUAAUAAUGUUAUUGUAUUGCUGAAAUAUGAUGUUCAGAAAGGUGCGACAUUGAAUUUUUUCUUUAAAUUUCUUAGAACUGAUCAGAAAGGUGCGACAUUGACUUUAAGUUGGGAAUGUAUUGAUAUAUUUUGAGACUUUAAGUUGGAAUUAUUUAUGUAUUUUGAGCCUUAAAGUUGGGAAUGUAUUGAUAUAUUUUGAGAUUUUAA